This 1097-nucleotide long non-coding RNA is filed under the name Brachypodium distachyon (stiff brome). Its description in RNAcentral is "long non-coding RNA (BDIS_LNC000441)". Lineage: Eukaryota; Viridiplantae; Streptophyta; Magnoliopsida; Poales; Poaceae. The record is from RNAcentral.
GCGGCGACGAGUGUAACAGCCCGACAAACAACCCUUUUCCUUUUAAGCCGUUUUGGACUGUUUUGUAAUUUAAAUUGUUGUCAUCAUCUGUCAUGCUCAUGUCAUCAUAAUUAUUUUGCCAUGUUAUUAGCAUCAUGUUGCACGAAAUAAUUAUUAGUUGCACGAAAUGUCACCUCUUUUGUGUUAUCAUGUGCUUGUCUUUUUGUUGUGUUCGUGAAAGCCUAAAAUUAUUUUUGUACAAAUCCUAUUUUGGUUUGACAAAUUAAUUCGCGUUUAAUGAAACCUAGCUUUUGCAAAAAAACUAAAUUUGCAAAACCUGUAUUUUGUUUGAGACUUUUGUUGGCCCAAAAGCCCACUAAGGCAAACCGUAACCCUAGCUAUUUAAUCCCCUCCUCUCUUUUUCUUUUUCUUCCUUUCUUUUUCUUUCUUACCUGGCCGUCGCCUCCCAUCUUCCUCCCCGAUCCCCUUUCUCUUCUGGCUUCUUCCUCCCGGAAAUUUCAAACUUCUACAUGUGCAUUGCAUCCAUGAGCAUCAUGCCACAAUUGCAUACUUGAAUUCAAAUUUGAAUCUCAAAAGGCUUUAAAAGACUUUGUUUACACCCAUUUAAGCUUUGGAUCUUCAAACCAAUAGGGUUUAUUUAUAAAAGGGGCUUAUUGCAUAUAUAAGCUAUCCCACAAUUUUUUGAUAAUUAUUUGGAGUUGAAAACGUAUUUUAUUUAAAUAGAUAUAUAGCCCUAAAGGCAUUUAUAGGGCAAAUGUAUUUUUAUAUAUUUUAUUUUGAGGGGAAACUACUCCCAAAUUGAAUCAUGGCAAUCUCCACGCCCGGCGAUUCCGACCUUCCCAGAACGCCCAAAGUGCGUCCCUAUAAAGCCUAGCUCCCCCUCUCUUCUUCCCCUCUCUUGCUCGCCCGAAUCGCGUGCCCACGCCGCCCAAUUCGUCGCCGGAGUUCGCCCACGCCGCCACCGUUCUCCUUCGUCGCUUGUGAACCCUAAGGGUAAGCACUGCCAUUUUCUUUCCCCUCUUUCACUACUCGUCCUCGCACUUCGUUUGACGCGUGCCGUUUCUUCUUCCGUGCACAGUAGCACCGCCCUCGUCGCG